AUAUAUAUAUAUAUAUAUGUCGGAGAGGCAGGAUCUUUUGUUAGAGGUUCAGCAUUUUGUGAUUUACCCAUUUUUAUUAUUACAAUUAAUUAAUAUUCCCAAUUACAAUAAGAUCAAUUAUCAAGAAUGAGUAGGUAAACUCGUACAAGAUUAAUUUAACUUAGAAUGCUAA
This is a long non-coding RNA of Cotesia glomerata, 172 nucleotides long. RefSeq lists it as uncharacterized. The record is from RefSeq and is a predicted model, not a curated record. NCBI's taxonomy places the organism in Eukaryota, Metazoa, Arthropoda, Insecta, Hymenoptera, Braconidae. The transcript is spliced from 2 exons.